RNAcentral lists this transfer RNA (67 nucleotides) under Camelus bactrianus (Bactrian camel). It matches the Rfam family "tRNA". Rfam says of the family: Transfer RNA (tRNA) molecules are approximately 80 nucleotides in length. Their secondary structure includes four short double-helical elements and three loops (D, anti-codon, and T loops). Further hydrogen bonds mediate the characteristic L-shaped molecular structure. tRNAs have two regions of fundamental functional importance: the anti-codon, which is responsible for specific mRNA codon recognition, and the 3' end, to which the tRNAs corresponding amino acid is attached (by aminoacyl-tRNA synthetases). tRNAs cope with the degeneracy of the genetic code in two manners: having more than one tRNA (with a specific anti-codon) for a particular amino acid; and 'wobble' base-pairing, i.e. permitting non-standard base-pairing at the 3rd anti-codon position. RNAcentral also lists the same sequence under 1 other name. Lineage: Eukaryota; Metazoa; Chordata; Mammalia; Artiodactyla; Camelidae. The record is from Rfam by way of RNAcentral.
GAGGGUAUAGCUCAGUGGUAGAGCACUAGCGUGUAUGAGGUCCUGGGUUCAAGGCCCUGUACCUCCA